Molecule: ribosomal RNA, 895 nt
Filed under: uncultured Acidobacteriota bacterium
Lineage: Bacteria; Pseudomonadati; Acidobacteriota
Description: bacterial SSU rRNA
Rfam family: Bacterial small subunit ribosomal RNA
Source: RNAcentral
AGAGUUUGAUCCUGGCUCAGAAUCAACGCUGGCGGCGUGCCUCAGACAUGCAAGUCGAACGAUUAAAGCUCUCUUCGGAGAGUGCAUAGAGUGGCGCACGGGUGAGUAACACGUAAGUAAUCUACCCUCGAGUGGGGAAUAACGUCCGGAAACGGGCGCUAAUACCGCAUAAUGCAGCGGCAUCAUAAGAUGACAGUUGUUAAAGAUUUAUCGCUUGAGGAGGAGCUUGCGGCAGAUUAGCUAGUUGGUAAGGUAACGGCUUACCAAGGCUACGAUCUGUAACCGGUCUUAGAGGACGGUCGGUCACACUGACACUGAAUAACGGGUCAGACUCCUACGGGAGGCAGCAGUCGGGAAUUUUGGGCAAUGGGCGAAAGCCUGACCCAGCAACGCCGCGUGAAGGAUGAAGUAUUUCGGUAUGUAAACUUCGAAAGAAUAGGAAGAAUUAAUGACGGUACUAUUUAUAAGGUCCGGCUAACUACGUGCCAGCAGCCGCGGUAAUACGUAGGGACCAAGCGUUGUUCGGAUUUACUGGGCGUAAAGGGCGCGUAGGCGGCAUGACAAGUCACUUGUGAAAUCUCCGGGCUUAACUCGGAACGGCCAAGUGAUACUGUCACGCUAGAGUAUUGGAGGGGCAAUCGGAAUUCUUGGUGUAGCGGUGAAAUGCGUAGAUAUCAAGAGGAACACCUGAGGUGAAGACGGGUUGCUGGCCAAAUACUGACGCUGAGGCGCGAAAGCCAGGGGAGCAAACGGGAUUAGAUACCCCGGUAGUCCUGGCCCUAAACGAUGAAUACUUGGUGUCUGGAGUUCUUAAACUCUGGGUGCCGUCGCUAACGUUUUAAGUAUUCCGCCUGGGGAGUACGCUCGCAAGAGUGAAACUCAAAGGAAUUGACGG